RNAcentral lists this small RNA (452 nucleotides) under Histoplasma capsulatum var. duboisii H88. RNAcentral describes it as "Histoplasma capsulatum H88 hypothetical RNA". The record is from RNAcentral. Lineage: Eukaryota; Fungi; Ascomycota; Eurotiomycetes; Onygenales; Ajellomycetaceae.
CUCCACCAGCCACAGCCCUCAAAAUAUCUCCAUGCCAGUUGGCAGAAUUUCAAUGGGAGCCCCGGCCAGAUCGAUGCUCCAAACCAGAACCCCUGAUCCUUAUGUAAUUCAGAGCCACGGGAUUUAUUUUGGCGGCUACUCUGAUUCCACCUCUUCCCUCCCAUCGGAGACCUGUUCGGGCUAUCAGGGACUACAACGCCAAACUCCUCCUAACCCGCCAUCCUAUCAAGCGUCUCAAUAUUGCCGUCCUCCCGCUUGGGAAGAUCCUAGCCAAUUUAUGCAUCCUCCAGGAGUAAAAUUUGAGAGCGGUGAUAGAAUGUACCAGCCGUACAUGCACUGUUUUUCGAUCCCCAACGAUGCACAUAACCCACCAACCGUACCGCAACAUAGACCAACAGUAGGGUGCCCUCGAUAUGCACCGGUCAGUCGUUUCAAUAAGGAAAAUAACCCUC